RNAcentral lists this long non-coding RNA (922 nucleotides) under Homo sapiens (human). RNAcentral describes it as "HSALNT0205142". The record is from RNAcentral. Lineage: Eukaryota; Metazoa; Chordata; Mammalia; Primates; Hominidae.
ACUGGAAUGGUAGAGAUGUGUAGUAAACUAUUGGAGAACUGUUCUCCAUUUUCCUUAGCCUGUUCAUUUUUUAUCAUUCUGGCUAAUGGUCAGCCAAACUCAAAAAGCAAAGGUGCUCAGAUGAAUGGAGUAAUACAAGGUCUUUCCAUUUGUCAGCAUCUUUAUGACAUUGAAGUGUUUCAAACUGGAAACAACAUUACAGGUUAUGAAACAAGCAGAGAGUGGCAUCUUUUGUUAAAAAGAAUGUUCUUGGAAACUCCUGCUAAGCACCUAAGAAGACUAAAGAUAUGCAAACGAUGACAAACGCAGGAAUAGAAAGUGUGUUGACAAGCAAUCCUAGAAAUAGCCUGCAUAUGGUGCGGGAUUUGCAAACAAAAAGGAGAGGGAUGUCUAUGAUUGGCGGGGAAAUAGGGGUCCCCUGGAGGACCGUCUAUCACUUAGUAAUAGAUUAGAGUCCUAGGUUCCUUGUCAGGUGCUACUGCUCCAAACAGGCUACUAGGCUUCCUCCCACCAAUCCAUGAUCCUCUCCCAUUUCCCCCUAACACCUCCUUCAGUGGGGCCUUAAUAGGGUCACAGGCCAGCUUUCAGCGUCAGGCUUUUCCUUGCUAGCAGGCCUGUCUACCUCGAGGGUAGUCACACUAGUCAGUACCCUGUUUAGCAUGGUAGCCUGGCAAAUGUGCCUAACUUCCUAGAGCAACUCAAGAUCAGUGGCACUUUACAGGGAAAUUUACAAACAUUUGGCAUCAGCAAAAAAUAAAGACUUAUUUUAAAGCCACAGAGACUUGAAGGAUGUCUACAGAAUCUGACCUUGAUUAUUCAAAAUGAUAUUAAUUUUUUUUUGUUUGUUUGCUUUAGUUUCCAACUUGAAAGCCAUUACAAUUUAUUAAUGUUUUGCCUCAUGAACUUUUGGUCAGUAUUGUAU